UUCCGGUUGAUCCUGCCGGACCCGACCGCUAUCGGGGUAGGGCUAAGCCAUGCGAGUCGCGCGCCCGGGGGCGCCCGGGAGCGGCGCACGGCUCAGUAACACGUGCCCAACCUACCCUCGGGAGGGGGACACCCCCGGGAAACUGGGGCCAAUCCCCCAUAGGGGAGGGGCGCUGGAAGGCCCCCUCCCCCAAAGGGAUGGCGGCCGAUCCGCCGCCAUCCGCCCGAGGAUGGGGGCACGGCCCAUCAGGUAGUUGGCGGGUUAAAGGCCCGCCAAGCCGAAGACGGGUAGGGGCGGUGAGAGCCGCGAGCCCCGAGAUCGGCACUGAGACAAGGGCCGAGGCCCUACGGGGUGCAGCAGGCGCGAAUACUCCGCAAUGCGGGAAACCGUGACGGGGCCACCCCGAGUGCCGCCCGAAGAGGGCGGCUUUUGCCCGGUGUAAAAAGCCGGGAGAAUAAGCGGGGGGCAAGUCUGGUGUCAGCCGCCGCGGUAAUACCAGCUCCGCGAGUGGUCGGGGUGUUUACUGGGCUUAAAGCGCCCGUAGCCGGCCCGGCAAGUCGCUCCUGAAAUCCCCGGGCUCAACCCGGGGGCGGGGGGCGAUACUGCCUGGCUAGGGGGCGGGAGAGGCCGCCGGUACUCCGGGGGUAGGGGCGAAAUCCGUUAAUCCCCGGAGGACCACCAGUGGCGAAAGCGGGCGGCCAGAACGCGCCCGACGGUGAGGGGCGAAAGCCGGGGGAGCAAAGGGGAUUAGAUACCCCUGUAGUCCCGGCCGUAAACGAUGCGGGCUAGCUGUCGGCCGGGCUUAGGGCCCGGCCGGUGGCGAAGGGAAACCGUUAAGCCCGCCGCCUGGGGAGUACGGCCGCAAGGCUGAAACUUAAAGGAAUUGGCGGG
Molecule: ribosomal RNA, 891 nt
Filed under: uncultured archaeon
Lineage: Archaea
Description: bacterial SSU rRNA
Rfam family: Archaeal small subunit ribosomal RNA
Source: RNAcentral